Molecule: ribosomal RNA, 434 nt
Filed under: uncultured bacterium
Lineage: Bacteria
Description: bacterial SSU rRNA
Rfam family: Bacterial small subunit ribosomal RNA
Source: RNAcentral
CCUAACACAUGCAAGUCGAGCGAAGCCUUCGGGCUUAGUGGCGCACGGGUGCGUAACGCGUGGGAAUCUGCCCUUGGGUUCGGAAUAACAGUUAGAAAUGACUGCUAAUACCGGAUGAUGUCUUCGGACCAAAGAUUUAUCGCCCAAGGAUGAGCCCGCGUCGGAUUAGCUAGUUGGUGAGGUAAAGGCUCACCAAGGCGACGAUCCGUAGCUGGUCUGAGAGGAUGAUCAGCCACACUGGGACUGAGACACGGCCCAGACUCCUACGGGAGGCAGCAGUGGGGAAUAUUGGACAAUGGGCGAAAGCCUGGUCCAGCAAUGCCGCGUGAGUGAUGAAGGCCUUAGGGUUGUAAAGCUCUUUUACCCGGGAUGAUAAUGACAGUACCGGGAGAAUAAGCCCCGGCUAACUCCGUGCCAGCAGCCGGGGUAAUAAU